AUUGAACGCUGGCGGCAGGCUUAACACAUGCCAGUCGAACGAUGACGCUCUAGCUUGCUAGAGAUGAUUAGUGGCGGACGGGUGAGUAACAUUUAGGAAUCUACCUUGUAGUGGGGGAUAGCUCGGGGAAACUCGAAUUAAUACCGCAUACGACCUACGGGUGAAAAGGGGCGCAAGCUCUUGCUAUUAGAUGUGCAUAAAUCAGAUUAGCUAGUUGGUGGGGUAAUGGCCCACCAAGGCGACGAUCUGUAACUGGUCUGAGAGGAUGAUCAGUCACACCGGAACUGAGACACGGUCCGGACUCCUACGGGAGGCAGCAGUGGGGAAUAUUGGACAAUGGGGGCAACCCUGAUCCAGCCAUGCCGAGUGUGUGAAGAAGGCCUUUUGGUUGUAAAGCACUUUAAGCAGGGAGGAGAGGCUAAUGGUUAAUACCCAUUAGAUUAGACGUUACCUGCAGAAUAAGCACCGGCUAACUCUGUG
This 480-nucleotide ribosomal RNA is filed under the name uncultured bacterium. Its description in RNAcentral is "partial 16S ribosomal RNA". It matches the Rfam family "Bacterial small subunit ribosomal RNA", at positions 30 to 507 of the family's 1533-position model. The record is from RNAcentral.